GACAUAGAUACAGUUGCUGGUUAAAUAGCAAACUCAGUUACGGCAUAUCUUGGCGGUAGGCAUUGUGACACAGACUGGAGCAUACUUCUUCUUGGCAGCUUCUGUUCCUCUCUUUGGCUCAUCGUCUGCCAUUGCCACCUUAGCUAAGGAGCACACAGCUGCAGCUGCAGCUGUGAAGACAAGAUCCCUCCUCAUCUUCAUGCUCUGUUCUUGCUUCUUG
This is a long non-coding RNA of Arabidopsis thaliana (thale cress), 220 nucleotides long. RefSeq annotates it as other RNA. Lineage: Eukaryota; Viridiplantae; Streptophyta; Magnoliopsida; Brassicales; Brassicaceae. The transcript has a single exon. The record is from RefSeq.